This 447-nucleotide ribosomal RNA is filed under the name uncultured bacterium. RNAcentral's name for it is "partial 16S ribosomal RNA". It matches the Rfam family "Bacterial small subunit ribosomal RNA", at positions 29 to 523 of the family's 1533-position model. The record is from RNAcentral.
AGCGAACGCUGGCGGCAGGCUUAACACAUGCAAGUCGAACGCCCCGCAAGGGGAGUGGCAGACGGGUGAGUAACGCGUGGGAACAUACCCUUUUCUACGGAAUAGCUCUGGGAAACUGGAAUUAAUACCGUAUACGCCCUACGGGGGAAAGAUUUAUCGGGGAAGGAUUGGCCCGCGUUGGAUUAGCUAGUUGGUGGGGUAAAGGCCUACCAAGGCGACGAUCCAUAGCUGGUCUGAGAGGAUGAUCAGCCACAUUGGGACUGAGACACGGCCCAAACUCCUGCGGGAGGCAGCAGUGGGGAAUAUUGGAAAAUGGGCGAAAGCCUGAUCCAGCCAUGCCGCGUGGGUGAUGAAGCCCUUAGGGUUGUAAAGCUCUUUCACCGAUGAGGAUAAUGACGGUAGUUGGAGAAGAAGCCCCGGCUAACUUCGUGCCAGCAGCCGCCGUAA